UGAAAUGUAAAAAUAUGAAUUUCAAAGAAAUUUCAAAUUUGAAUUUGGAGGCCUCACAAGAGCCCGAGCUCCAAAAGGGAUUUCCGCUAGCCACAACUUCUAGAAACCAGUUCUACCAAAAAGAUCCUUUCCAUGAGAACAAAAUACAUACCCAAUAUUGAUAGAUGUCCAUUUUUGUCACCAUCAGCACACAUAUCUUAAUUCCUUCUUGUAUAAGCUUUUCAAUACAUCCUGGUACCUGAAUAUAAAUGCAUUCACAUGUGCACCAAUGAAAUAUAAAUAAUUAAUAUUUGGUAGCCUGCAUUUGAAUGAAAUGAAGUAGACCAGAAAACAUAACCUUCUCAUAAAAGCAUACCAAUUUCUAGGGCUUGUCUUAGUAGUACCAAAAGCAAGUCACUCUCAAUACUGUAAGCAACCUCCUAAAUAUUUUUUAUCUCUGUCAGCAUUUCUAGGUGGUUUGACAGUCCAACUCAAAAAAAAUAGUUUGACAGUGUAGAAGUAUUCACUAAAGUUCACAUACUCUUUCUCACCCAGACACAUGCAAGAACCAAUUUUCUUAGACUAGAAUCAAAAUACUCAUUUAUUUUCCUUUUAGUCUCUUCCUCAAAUUAUCUUCCAGGUGGUACAAUUGGAGGAAAAAGACUUUCAGUUAGUCUCUUCCUCAAAUUCUUUUCCAGCUACUACGCACGAAGAAGACAGAUAAGGAGGCAUGGGCGGUACAGAAGUUUCGGAUCAUAGGGGACAGUUGAAUCAUCUGACCAAAGAUACCACCGGCUAACCGUUUCUUCAAACAUCUUUAGGCCAUAUUCGAACAUCCCAAAAUAAGAACAACAUAUAAAUAUUUUCAGAUAGAUGGUGGGUCAACUACAUUUUGCAUCACGUAAAUAUCAUGGGCAAAGUGACUAAGAACAGAGGUAGUGGAAGGGGAUUUGUACUACCAAAGUCCCGAUUAAAUUUUGCAGCAACUUAUCCAAUCAUUGUUUGAAUCGUAUGAACUCACACCAAGUUUUACAUUCCAAAAAAACAUAUAGUGAACAUGAACCUGAAGAAUCAAAAUAUCUGCCUAGCUAGGCACUCCACUGAUACAUGUGAGUCGUCAGGUAGCAUAGGCAUGUGGCUGUUGUUCUUCUGCAUCCUCGUGUCGACCUAACCUUAUUGCUGCUCCAGAGCUCCAGUACGUGUGUGCAUGCUCGCCAAGGAGGUCGAAAUUCCCCAUCCCGGGGAGGGCGAGGCAGCGGACUCCU
This 1244-nucleotide long non-coding RNA is filed under the name Triticum aestivum (bread wheat). Its description in RNAcentral is "long non-coding RNA (TAES_LNC018730)". Lineage: Eukaryota; Viridiplantae; Streptophyta; Magnoliopsida; Poales; Poaceae. The record is from RNAcentral.